Molecule: ribosomal RNA, 167 nt
Filed under: Vinciguerria lucetia
Lineage: Eukaryota; Metazoa; Chordata; Actinopteri; Stomiiformes; Phosichthyidae
Description: partial small subunit ribosomal RNA
Source: RNAcentral
CGCCGCGGUUAUACGAGAGACCCAAGUUGACAGUCACCGGCGUAAAGCGUGGUUAAGGACUUCCCCCACUAAGGCUAAACACUUCCCUGGUUGUUAUACACUCUCGGAAGAAUGAAACCCUUUCACGAAAGUAGCUUUACUUUCCUGAACCCACCACAAUUAGGAAA